GAGCGGGAGGAUCUUCCGCCGCUGGUGGAGCAAUUGAUGAGCAUCCCCGGGGUCCACGUCCUUGUCGUCGACGAUGCCUCGCCGGACGGCACCGGGGAGCUUGCCGACCGGCUGGCAUUGGCGUUUCCAGGCCGAAUGCAGGUGCUGCAUCGUCCUGGGAAAGGGGGAUUCGGCUCGGCCUAUGUCGCAGGCAUGCAGCAGGCGCUCCGCCAGAGCAGCGACUUGAUCGUCCAGAUGGACGCCGACCUCUCCCACGAGGUUCGUUUCCUGCCCGAAUUGAUCGCCGCAGCCGCCCGCGCAGACCUCGUGAUCGGAUCCCGUUAUGUCGCCGGUGGGGGUGUGGCGAGCUGGUCGACUUUAAGGCAACAGCUCAGCCGAUUCGCCAAUUUCUACGUUCGGA
Molecule: unclassified non-coding RNA, 400 nt
Filed under: uncultured bacterium
Lineage: Bacteria
Description: contains 16S-23S intergenic spacer region
Source: RNAcentral